RNAcentral lists this ribosomal RNA (468 nucleotides) under uncultured bacterium. RNAcentral describes it as "partial 16S ribosomal RNA". It matches the Rfam family "Bacterial small subunit ribosomal RNA", at positions 28 to 507 of the family's 1533-position model. The record is from RNAcentral.
GACGAACGCUGGCGGCGUGCUUAACACAUGCAAGUCGAACGGAAAGGCCCUGCUUUUGUGGGGUGCUCGAGUGGCGAACGGGUGAGUAACACGUGAGUAACCUGCCCUUGACUUUGUGAUAACUUCAGGAAACUGGGGCUAAUACCGGAUAUGAGCUCCUGCUGCAUGGUGGUGGUUGGUAAGUUUCGGCGGUUGGGGAUGGACUCGCGGCUGAUCAGCUUGUUGGUGGGGUAGUGGCUUACCAAGGCUUUGACGGGUAGCCGGCCUGAGAGGGUGACAGGCAACAUUGGGACUGAGAUACGGACCAGACGCCUACGGGAGGCAGCAGUGGGGAAUAUUGCACAAUGGGCGGAAGCCUGAUGCAGCAACGCCGCGUGCGGGAUGACGGCAUUCGGGUUGUAAACCGCUUUCGCCUGUGACGAAGCGUGAGUGACGGUAAUGGGUAAAGAAGCACCGGCUAACUACGUG